RNAcentral lists this long non-coding RNA (5367 nucleotides) under Triticum aestivum (bread wheat). Its description in RNAcentral is "long non-coding RNA (TAES_LNC004954)". The record is from RNAcentral. Lineage: Eukaryota; Viridiplantae; Streptophyta; Magnoliopsida; Poales; Poaceae.
UUUUAAAUAAGUGAACUUUUCUCAAUUUUGUCAUUUUAUCCAAAUUUGGUGAACUUUUCUCAAAUUACAAACUUUUUCCCAAAUCUGUGUGAACUUUUUUAACCCAUGAAUUGUUUUUCAUUUUCUGUGAACUUUUUUGCAAAUUACAAACUUUUCCAAGUGUUAUUUUUAUUAAAUAUGUGAACUUUUCUGGGAACCCCGUUAAACAUUUUCAAAAUCCUCAAAAACCUAACAGAAAAAAAGAUACGGGGCUUUUAAGAUCUGGAGAGGCAAAAAAAUUCAAAAAAAAUCAAACUUACUAAUGGCGCACGUGCCCAUGGUGCGCCAUUAGUAUCUUCCCGCCUUCAAAAUUCAAAAUAAGUCAACAAAAUAAAAAAAAAAGUUACUAAUGGCGCACCUGCCCAUGGUGCGCCAUUAGUAUCUUCCCGCCUUCAAAAUUCAAAAUAAAUAAAAAAAAUAAAAAAAAUAGUAAUGGCGCACCUGCCCGCGGUGCGCCAUUACUAUGCCAUAUAUAUGUCUGGGCGUGGUCCUCUCCUCCUUCAUUUUUCUCCUCCACUCCAUCUCUCCUCCACUCCAUCUCUCCUCCACUCCAUCUUCCCUUCUCUCCUCCACCAUACUACCCUCCUCCUCUCCGGUGACCUCCUCCUCCUCCUCCUCUCCGGCGACCCCCUCCUCCUCCUCUUCGGCGACCUCCUCCUCCUCCUAUCCGGCGACCUCCUCCUCCCUCCUCUCCUCCCCUCCCCUCCCCUCACGGUUUCUCCUCCCUCCUCGACUCAGUUAUAUAUUAGCCACGCCCAGAAAUCCUUCCUCGACUCACUGCGAGAAAGCGAUGCCGGAGCCAUCAUAUGAGUUUAGUGCAACAAGUAUCCCGUUCUAGUUGUAGUAGAUCGGAAUACAACUCCGAGCACCCGUUACCAUGGACACGGCUAUUCAAAUAGAUUACUUCCUUGCAGGGGUGCACCAACUUACCCAACACAAUCGAUUAACUCCGGCCAGACACACUUUUCCUGGGCAUGCCCGUCCUAGGCUAAUCGACACACCAUAGUCCUACCUAGGCUCACAGAGAGGUCAGCACGCCUGUCUACAUCCUAAAUGUGAAGGGUGGUUCGGCCGCUCAUCCUAAGCACUCCUGCACAUUGCGUGGGCGGUCCAGCUUCACCUGAUCUGCAGGAUAUCUACUAGUCUAUGUGCCACAUCUCUGAACUGUGAUGUCUGUAGAGCUUUCGGAAGAAUUGUACGGCGUCGAAUGCCCAUACUUAUUCCCGCGUGGUGGUUAGUGCGAAAUGGCUAGAGGCCUACUCAGAUCACAUAUCCAAACCCGUUAGUGUAUACGGAGCUCGCGGGAACGAUCGAUGAUCCUCUCACCCCAUUUCACGGACUUACGACAGGGGCCAGGCCCAUCCCUCUCUAGGGAGGUCUCUGCCUGCCCGGUCGUGCCACGUCAUUACAUUGCGGGUACCCUCAUGGUCAACCCAACUUCAAUAACUCUCGAGGGUACCCCUUGGGCCGACCCAACUUCAACAAAGGACCGAGGUGAAGGUCAAGGUAACCAUGUGUCCAUAACAUCAAGGGGGAAUCUGAGGAAUCACCCUCGAUGGAUUCCUACUCGAUGUAACCGUCAAGGUGACCUUUGAGGAAUCACCCUCGAAGGGUUCAGACUUCAGGUGUCGCACAACAACUCAUCAUCAGGAGUGGUGAAUAAGAAAAAACAAUCAGUGUGCAUUUUGUAAAUGUUCAAAAUUUAUUAAAAAGGAACCAAAAAAUAAAAAAAUAGGAAAGGAAAAAUGGAAAAAAAGAAAUGAAUAAAGGAAAAUUAAAAAGAAACUAAAUUUAAAAGGAAAUCAACCUUCUUAAAGGACACGGCUAAUGUUUUCUUAGCGCAUGGUGAACAUUUUUUAAAAUUCAUGCAAACAUUCUUUUACAAAAUAUGACAUAAAGUUUUCAAAAUACAUUCCGAAUAUUUUGUAAAACUUUACGAACAUUAUUUUCUAUACACAAUGAAAAAUGGCACUGAGAGAACAAAUAAAAAUUAAAUAAAAAAAAGGGGACAAAACAUAGAAAAAAAUCUAUCCCAGUCCAUUAGUGUUAAGCACAGAUGGAAAAAAUAACAGAAAACUGAUUGAGUGGGGUGGCAAAUCAUAUUUGGCACCAAUGCGUGAAUUGGUACGCCCAGUUCCUAUUCCGCACCUUGAGCGUGGGAUAUUAGUACAGAUCGCUAAUCGGCGAAAACCCUUCACUUUAUAGUAGGCGGCUGGCUUCUUAUGUCAAGAGAACGGAUGGAGUAUUAUAUAGGUAAAUGGGUCGGCUGGCUUCUUAUGUAGGUUCUGUUUUCCAACAGUUUUUAUGGAAGCUUUUUCCAAUGAUUUUUACUGCAUUUGUUUCUGGGACGUUUUCUUCGUGUUUUCACCUGCCGGUUUUCUCUCUUUUUUUUUUCGUUUUUCGCCUUCUUUUUCUUAUUUACUUUUCCUGUUUCACCUUCUUUUUCUUUUUUAUAAAAUUUGUGAACUUUUUAGAGAUCCGAGAACUUCUUUCAAAUAUUUUUUUCCUUUUCCAAAUGUCUCUGAACUUUGUUUUAAAUAAGUGAACUUUUCUCAAUUUUGUCAUUUUAUCCAAAUUUGGUGAACUUUUCUCAAAUUACAAACUUUUUCCCAAAUCUGUGUGAACUUUUUUUAACCCAUGAAUUGUUUUUCAUUUUCUGUGAACUUUUUUGCAAAUUACAAACUUUUCCAAGUGUUAUUUUUAUUAAAUAUGUGAACUUUUCUGGGAACCCCGUUAAACAUUUUCAAAAUCCUCAAAAACCUAACAGAAAAAAGAUACGGGGCUUUUAAGAUCCGGAGAGGCAAAAAAUUCAAAAAAAUUCAAACUUACUAAUGGCGCACCUGCCCAUGGUGCGCCAUUAGUAUCUUCCCGCCUUCAAAAUUCAAAAUAAGUCAACAAAAUAAAAAAAAGUUACUAAUGGCGCACCUUCCCAUGGUGCGCCAUUAGUAUCUUCCCGCCUUCAAAAUUCAAAAUAAAUCAAAAAAAUGAAAAUAAAAGUUAGUAAUGGCGCACCUGCCCGCGGUGCGCCAUUACUAUGCCAUAUAUAUGUCUGGGCGUGGUCCUCUCCUCCAUCAUUUUUCUCCUCCACUCCAUCUUCCCUUCUCUCCUCCACCAUACAACCCUCCUCCUCUCCGGUGACCUCCUCCUCCUCCUCCUCUCCGGCGACCUCCUCCUCCUCCUCUCCGGUGACCUCCUCCUCCUCCUAUCCGGCGACCUCCUCCUCCCUCCUCUCCUCCCCUCCCCUCCCCUCACGGUUUCUCCUCCCUCCUCGACUCAGUUAUAUAUUAGCCAUGCCCAGAAAUCCUUCCUCGACUCACUGCGAGAAAGCGAUGCCGGAGCCAUCAUAUGAGUUUAGUGUAACAAGUAUCCCGUUCUAGUUGUAGUAGAUCGGAAUACAACUCGGAGCACCCGUUACCAUGGACACGGCUAUUCAAAUAGAUUACUUCCUUGCAGGGGUACACCAACUUACCCAACACACUCGAUUAACUCCGGCCAGACACACUUUUCCUGGGCAUGCCCGUCCUCGGCUAAUCGACACACCAUAGUCCUACCUAGGCUCAGCAGAGAGGUCAGCACGCCUGUCUACAUCCUAAAUGUGAAGGGUGGUUCGGCCGCUCAUCCUAAGCACUCCUGCACAUUGCGUGGGCGGUCCAGCUUCACCUGAUCUGUAGGAUAUCUGCUAGUCUCUGUGCCACAUCUCUGAACUGUGAUGUCUGUAGAGCUUUCGGAAGAAUUGUAUGGCGCCGAAUGCCCAUACUUAUUCCCGCGUGGUGGUUAGUGCGAAAUGGCUAGAGGCCUACUCAGAUCACAUAUCCAAACCCGUUAGUGUAUACGGAGCUCGCGGGAACGAUCGAUGAUCCUCUCACCCCAUUUCACGAACUUACGACAGGGGCCAGGCCCAUCCCCUCUCUAGGGAGGUCUCUGCCUACCCGGUCGUGCCACGUCAUUACAUUGCGGGUACCCUCAUGGUCAACCCAACUUCAAUAACUCUCGAGGGUACCCAUUGGGCCGACCCAACUUCAACAAAGGACCGAGGUGAAGGUCAAGGUAACCGUGUGUCCAUAACAUCAAGGGGGAAUCUGAGGAAUCACCCUCGAUGGAUUCCUACUCGAUGUAACCGUCAAGGUGACCUUGGAGGAAUCACCCUCGAAGGGUUCAGACUUGAGGUGUCGCACAACAACUCAUCAUCAGGAGUGGUGAAUAAGAAAAAACAAUCAAUGUGCAUUUUGCAAAUGUUCAAAAUGUAUUAAAAAGGAACCAAAAAAUAAAAAAAUAGGAAAGGAAAAAUGGAAAAAAACAAAUGAAUAAAGGAAAAUUAAAAAGAAACUAAAUUUAAAAGGAAAUCAACCUUCUUAAAGGACACGGCUAAUGUUUUCUUAACGCAUGGUGAACAUUUUUUAAAAUUCAUGCAAACAUUCUUUUACAAAAUAUGACAUAACGUUUUCAAAAUACAUUCCGAAUAUUUUGUAAAAACUUUACGAACAUUAUUUUCUAUACACAAUGAAAAAUGGCACUGAGAGAACAAAUAAAAAUUAAAUAAAAAAAUAAAAGGGGACAAAAUAUAGAAAAAAAUCUAUCCCAGUCCAUUAGUGUUAAGCACAGAUGGAAAAAAUAACAGAAAACUGAUUGAGUGGGGUGGCAAAUCAUAUUUGGCACCAAUGCGUGAAUUGGUACGCUAAGUUCCUAUUCUGCACCUUGAGCGCGGGAUAUUAGUACAGAUCGCUAAUCGGCGAACACCCUUCACUGUAUAGUAGGCGGCUGGCUUCUUAUGUCAAGAGAACGGAUGGAGUAUUAUAUGGGUAAAUGGGCCGGCUGGCUUAUUAUGUAGGUUCUGUUUUCCAACAGUUUUUAUGGAAGCUUUUUCCAAUGAUUUUUACUGCAUUUGUUUCUGGGGCGUUUUCUUCGUGUUUUCGCCUGCCGGUUUUCUCUCUCUUUUUUCGUUUUUCGCCUUCUUUUUCUUCUUUACUUUUCCUGUUUCACCUUCUUUUUCUUUUUUAUAAAAUUUGUGAACUUUUCAGAGAUCCGUGAACUUCUUUCAAAUAUUUUUUUCCUUUUCCAAAUGUCUCUGAACUUUGUUUUAAAUAAGUGAACUUUUCUCAAUUUUUUUAUUUUAUCCAAAUUUCGUGAACUUUUCUCAAAUUACAAACUUUUUCCCAAAUCUGUGUGAACUUUUUUUAACCCAUGAAUUGUUUUUCAUUUUUUGUGAACUUUUUUGCAAAUUACAAAGUUUUCCAAGUGUUAUUUUUAUUAAAUAUGUGAACUUUUCUGGGAACCCCGUUAAACAUUUUCAAAAUCCUCAAAAACCUAACAGAAAAAAAGAUACGGGGC